RNAcentral lists this long non-coding RNA (216 nucleotides) under Elaeis guineensis (African oil palm). RNAcentral's name for it is "long non-coding RNA (EGUI_LNC003637)". Lineage: Eukaryota; Viridiplantae; Streptophyta; Magnoliopsida; Arecales; Arecaceae. The record is from RNAcentral.
GAUGUUUCGGAAGGAGGAAGAUAUGCUGGUCUGGUGCACAAAAUGGGAUUGCUUCCUCACAGCCCUAUGUUAGCUGAUUUUUCUUUAUAUUUUUAAAAUAUGGCAUUGUUUAUCACCAUCCAUGUUUGAGCCUGAAAUCUUUUGGUGGGGACGGUAUGAUCAACAACCUGACCUACUAGCUUGUAGUGUCCUUUACUUCGGGACCAACAACCCAAC